GCCUCAGCUAGCGCCUUCGUUUCCCUAUCCCAUAAGGACCCGCUUGGAGAGAUUUUUUCCAAAAAGGUUCGACAUGCGUCUCCCUCCCCCACAGGAGAACGCGAGACGACCAGAAGCUAGGGUUCUCUCCGCCGCCGCGCACAAACCCUCCGGUCCGGCAACCCUCGCGUCCCUCUCCUAUCCCCAGUUGCCGUUGUAGUCCCCUGCCACCGGUACGGCGCGCGAGGGCGAGAGCCACGCGAAGCGCCAGGCCGGCGAAGGCGCGGGGGAGGAGGAGGAAAAAGAGGAAGCGAGAGGGCGGCCGCGGCGGAAGGAGAUGACCAUCUGAUGUCUCGGUGGGGUAGCCCAACCCACCACUCCUCCUGCGGCGACGACGGCAGAGAGCAGAAGACAAUCUGACAACGCUGCCGCAGAUGAUGAAAUUGGAGAAGCGGUCUUGGUGAUAAGGCCGGUGGACUGAGGAACUACGGAUGUGGUGGCGGAGGACGUAGAGACUACUCAGCCUUGGUCCAGAAUUUUGGCAGAUCACUCAGAGACGGGUGCAUUCCUAUCUCGUCCUUCUCGAUUGAACUAUUUGUCUGUCAUCCCCUUCUCCGAUUGAAGUACAUCAUGCUAGAUACCACAGAGGUUAGUUGGUCUAACUAUAUUUACUAGCUAUUUUAAUCAUGUUACAGAAGCCUCGCUGAACUCCCUUGGUGUUGGUUCUUCUUGAAGUAAAGAAUUUACGUCUAGACUUGGCAUAAUUCAGUUCCUGGAUGAAAAAAAGUUGCAUGUCCUUUGAGUCUGAAAACCAUACUGGGCCUUGGAGCAUGAUGCGGAAAAUUGCAGGUAUUUCCUGCACUUCCUGCACAUGAAGGCGGAUGAUUUUUUUUGGAUGCCACUAUCGUCAGACACAUCGUGUUUAUCAGUGAGUAACUGGUACAAAGUUCAGAUUAUCAGUUUCCAUUCGUGCUGAUGGAUGGAUAGCUUCGUUGCAGUCGUCGGGAGAAAUAUCACCAAUGGUAGGUAGGCUGAGGCGGACGCUAAUACCAAGCGGUCAAUGUAGGAAACCAACCCCGCCUCGUGCCAUUCCCCAUCUUUGUAUUUGUGUUAGGCCCAACUCAAGGUAGAGGAGUAAGAGGAGGCCAGAAAGAAUGAAGCUAGAAGGCAGAAGGCAUUUGAUCUGAAGGCAUGGUUCACAGAAAGUUGUUGAAGUGAAAGAUGAAGAGGAAUUUGUGGAGGAGCUGAAGACAUGACGUGGAAGAAAGAAGAAAGCAAACCCUAAACAUUAUAAUGAUGGAGACUGUUUGAUAUCUUGUUGUUUCAAGAAAUUCUGAUUAAGCGCUCAACCCGUGACCGAGUACUGCCCUGCCUAGACACACGUCCAGGAUGCGGAAGAUGCGGCGCUUGCUGGAAAGCUGGUCAAGUAGGCCCCCACUUUGUGUUUUAGCAGAUUGAUCCUGCACAUCACACUAACUGCUAGAAAUAAGUGGACUCAGAACAAUUUGCAAUCAUCAGUUGGAUAUUUGAUGACUACAAUAUAUGAUGUUUUCUA
Molecule: long non-coding RNA, 1534 nt
Organism: Triticum aestivum (bread wheat)
Lineage: Eukaryota; Viridiplantae; Streptophyta; Magnoliopsida; Poales; Poaceae
Exons: 3
Source: RefSeq, a predicted model, not a curated record